GACGAACGCUGGCGGCGUGCUUAACACAUGCAAGUCGAACGGUGAAGCUCCAGCUUGCUGGAGUGGAUCAGUGGCGAACGGGUGAGUAACACGUGAGCAACCUGCCCCUGACUCUGGAAUAAGCGCUGGAAACGGCGUCUAAUACUGGAUACGAGAAGGGCCCGCAUGGGCACUUUCUGGAAAGUUUUUCGGUUGGGGAUGGGCUCGCGGCCUAUCAGCUUGCUGGUGAGGUAAUGGCUCACCAAGGCGACGACGGGUAGCCGGCCUGAGAGGGCGACCGGCCACACUGGUACUGAGACACGGCCCAGACUCCUACGGGAGGCAGCGGUGGGGAGUAUUGCACAAUGGGCGAAAGCCUGAUGCAGCGACGCCGCGUGAGUGAUGACGGCCUUCGGGUUGUAAACCUCUUUCAGCAGGGAAGAAGCGAAAGUGACGGUACCUGCAGAAGAAGCACCGGCUAACUACGUG
This 468-nucleotide ribosomal RNA is filed under the name uncultured bacterium. RNAcentral describes it as "partial 16S ribosomal RNA". It matches the Rfam family "Bacterial small subunit ribosomal RNA", at positions 28 to 507 of the family's 1533-position model. The record is from RNAcentral.